GACGAACGCUGGCGGCGUGCUUAACACAUGCAAGUCGAACGGAAAGGCCCUGCUUUUGUGGGGUGCUCGAGUGGCGAACGGGUGAGUAACACGUGAGUAACCUGCCCUUGACUUUGGGAUAACUUCAGGAAACUGGGGCUAAUACCGGAUAGGAGCUCCUGCGGCAUGGUGGGGGUUGGAAAGUUUCGGCGGUUGGGGAUGGACUCGCGGCUUAUCAGCUUGUUGGUGGGGUAGUGGCUUACCAAGGCUUUGACGGGUAGCCGGCCUGGGAGGGUGACCGGCCACAUUGGGACUGAGAUACGGCCCAGACUCCUACGGGAGGCAGCAGUGGGGAAUAUUGCACAAUGGGCGGAAGCCUGAUGCAGCAACGCCGCGUGCGGGAUGACGGCCUUCGGGUUGUAAACCGCUUUCGCCUGUGACGAAGCGUGAGUGACGGUAAUGGGUAAAGAAGCACCGGCUAACUACGUG
RNAcentral lists this ribosomal RNA (468 nucleotides) under uncultured bacterium. RNAcentral's name for it is "partial 16S ribosomal RNA". It matches the Rfam family "Bacterial small subunit ribosomal RNA", at positions 28 to 507 of the family's 1533-position model. The record is from RNAcentral.